UACAGAGGUCUCAAGCGUUGUUCGGAUUCAUUGGGCGUAAAGGGUGCGUAGGUGGCGCCAUAAGUCAGGUGUGAAAUCUCGGGGCUCAACCCCGAAACUGCACUUGAUACUGUGGUGCUCGAGUACUGGAGAGGAGAUUGGAAUUUACGGUGUAGCAGUGAAAUGCGUAGAUAUCGUAAGGAAGACCAGUGGCGAAGGCGAAUCUCUGGACAGUUACUGACGCUGAGGCACGAAAGCGUGGGGAGCAAACAGG
Molecule: ribosomal RNA, 253 nt
Filed under: uncultured bacterium
Lineage: Bacteria
Description: partial 16S ribosomal RNA
Rfam family: Bacterial small subunit ribosomal RNA
Source: RNAcentral